This 497-nucleotide ribosomal RNA is filed under the name uncultured bacterium. Its description in RNAcentral is "partial 16S ribosomal RNA". It matches the Rfam family "Bacterial small subunit ribosomal RNA", at positions 28 to 507 of the family's 1533-position model. The record is from RNAcentral.
GAUGAACGCUGGCGGCGUGCCUAAUACAUGCAAGUCGAGCGAACAGAUGAGGAGCUUGCUCCUCUUACGUUAGCGGCGGACGGGUGAGUAACACGUGGAUAACCUACCUAUAAGACUGGGAUAACUUCGGGAAACCGGAGCUAAUACCGGAUAAUAUAUUGAACCGCAUGGUUCAAUAGUGAAAGACGGUUUUGCUUUCACUUAUCGAUGGAUCCGCACCGCAUUAGCUAGUUGGUAAGGUAACGGCUUACCAAGGCAACGAUGCGUAGCCGACCUGAGAGGGUGAUCGGCCACACUGGAACUGAGACACGGUCCAGACUCCUACGGGAGGCAGCAAUAGGGAAUCUUCCGCAAUGGGCGAAAGCCUGACGGAGCAACGCCGCGUGAGUGAUGAAGGUCUUCGGAUAGUAAAACUCUGUUAUUAGGGAAGAACAAAUGUGUAAGUAACUAUGCACGUCUUGACGGUACCUAAUCAGAAAGCCACGGCUAACUACGUG